Molecule: ribosomal RNA, 460 nt
Filed under: uncultured Treponema sp.
Lineage: Bacteria; Pseudomonadati; Spirochaetota; Spirochaetia; Treponematales; Treponemataceae
Description: partial 16S ribosomal RNA
Rfam family: Bacterial small subunit ribosomal RNA
Source: RNAcentral
ACGGAAGGCAGCAGCUAAGAAUAUUCCGCAAUGGACGAAAGUCUGACGGAGCGACGCCGCGUGGAUGAUGAAGGCCGGAAGGUUGUAAAAUCCUUUUAUAACUGAGGAAUUAGUAUGGUGAGAGAAACGCCAUAUGGUGACUGUAGGUUAUGAAUAAGCAACGGCUAAUUACGUGCCAGCAGCCGCGGUAACACGUAAGUUGCGAGCGUUGUUCGGAAUUAUUGGGCGUAAAGGGCAUGUAGGCGGUUUUGCAAGCUUGGUGUGAAAGGCAGGAGCUUAACUCCUGGACUGCGUUGAGAACUGCAAGACUAGAGUCACUGAGGGGCAAUCAGAAUUCCUGGUGUAGGGGUGAAAUCUGUAGAUAUCUGGAAGAACACCGAUGGCGAAGGCAGGCUUCGAGCGGACGACUGACGCUGAGGUGCGAAGGUGCGGGGAGCAAACAGGAUUAGAUACCCUGGUA